GGGUUGUGAGGUUAAGCGACUAAGCGUACACGGUGGAUGCCCUGGCAGUCAGAGGCGAUGAAGGACGUGCUAAUCUGCGUAAAGCGUCGGUAAGGUGAUAUGAACCGCUACAGCCGACGAUGUCCGAAUGGGGAAACCCGGUGCACUCUGUGCAUCAUCGCAACAUGAAUACAUAGUGUUGCGAGGCGAACCUGGGGAACUGAAACAUCUAAGUACCCAGAGGAAAAGAAAUCAACCGAGAUUCCCCCAGUAGCGGCGAGCGAACGGGGAGCAGCCCAGAACCUGAAUCAGUUUGUGCAUUAGUGGAAGCGUCUGGAAAGUCGCAGGGUACAGGGUGAUACUCCCGUACACAAAAAUGCAUUUACUGUGAGUUCGAAGAGUAGGGCGGGACACGUGGUAUCCUGUCUGAAUAUGGGGGGACCAUCCUCCAAGGCUAAAUACUCCUGACUGACCGAUAGUGAACCAGUACCGUGAGGGAAAGGCGAAAAGAACCCCGGCGAGGGGAGUGAAACAGAACCUGAAACCGUGUACGUACAAGCAGUGGGAGCCUGAUUUGUCAGGUGACUGCGUACCUUUUGUAUAAUGGGUCAGCGACUUAUAUUCUGUAGCAAGGUUAACCGUAUAGGGGAGCCGCAGGGAAACCGAGUCUUAACUGGGCGUUAAGUUGCAGGGUAUAGACCCGAAACCCGGUGAUCUAGCCAUGGGCAGGUUGAAGGUUGGGUAACACUAACUGGAGGACCGAACCGACUAAUGUUGAAAAAUUAGCGGAUGACUUGUGGCUGGGGGUGAAAGGCCAAUCAAACCGGGAGAUAGCUGGUUCUCCCCGAAAGCUAUUUAGGUAGCGCCUCGUGAACUCAUCUUCGGGGGUAGAGCACUGUUUCGGCUAGGGGGCCAUCCCGGCUUACCAACCCGAUGCAAACUGCGAAUACCGGAGAAUGUUAUCACGGGAGACACACGGCGGGUGCUAACGUCCGUCGUGAAGAGGGAAACAACCCAGACCGCCAGCUAAGGUCCCAAAGUCAUGGUUAAGUGGGAAACGAUGUGGGAAGGCACAGACAGCCAGGAUGUUGGCUUAGAAGCAGCCAUCAUUUAAAGAAAGCGUAAUAGCUCACUGGUCGAGUCGGCCUGCGCGGAAGAUGUAACGGGGCUAAACCAUGCACCGAAGCUGCGGCAGCGAC
Molecule: ribosomal RNA, 1178 nt
Filed under: Pantoea sp. S61
Lineage: Bacteria; Pseudomonadati; Pseudomonadota; Gammaproteobacteria; Enterobacterales; Erwiniaceae
Description: partial 23S ribosomal RNA
Rfam family: Bacterial large subunit ribosomal RNA
Source: RNAcentral